Long non-coding RNA from Lycium barbarum (goji berry), 786 nucleotides. RefSeq lists it as uncharacterized. The transcript is spliced from 3 exons. The record is from RefSeq and is a predicted model, not a curated record. Lineage: Eukaryota; Viridiplantae; Streptophyta; Magnoliopsida; Solanales; Solanaceae.
AGGUACAUGGAAUUGAUCUCAGACAUUGUUAAAGAAUUUAGUGCCUCUACGCAUACUCCCCAGGAGAUUAAACUUUUCCAGCAGCUGCUACCUGAUUUAGCUCGGAGACCGAUGUAUACUGCCAUAUGAUACAGCUAGAGAGGAAUCAGAAGAAGGGUCAAUUUACAUGCAUUCUCAAAGUAGCAGGAAGAACAAAAUCACUGGCCAAAAUACAGAUUCCUACAGAUCAACUUGGAACUUUGGCACUCCAUCGUGCACCUACUAAUAUUGUGGGGCCAUUUUGUGGUGUGAGGAGCGGACGGAAAAAACAAGAAAGACAACACAACCAAAAUUAAAAAUUUGUUGUAUGGAAGGACGUUUACGACUACCGUUACUGAGUCAACCACCACCCUAUCUAAAAUAUCUUUUAGGGAUAGAAUCCGGACAAUUGGGUAUCAAUUUUAGAAAAACCAUAAGGGUUUAUAACUCUAUGUUUGCAUUUACAUCUAUGGGAGGCCAAGUUGACAGAUCUAUCAAUCGUUCAAAGGGCCCAUAUGUUUUCAGGAUGAGUGGUCAAAAUUAUCAUCACACUAGCUCUCUGUUGCCGGAAAUAGGCAAGAGCCCACGGUUUUCCCAGCUCUAUAUAUAUGAUACUGAAAAUGAGAUAGAUAACAAAAUGAAUAGUCUGUUGCAUGAAGAAGUUGAUCUACAAAUUGUACGGGGAUAUCAGAAAUGUUAGACGAGCAUAAUAUUCUGGUAAAAUUAUUUCAGAUGGCAAGGGAUAGAUAUAAACAUCAAUCGGAAUCU